RNAcentral lists this ribosomal RNA (621 nucleotides) under uncultured organism. Its description in RNAcentral is "bacterial SSU rRNA". It matches the Rfam family "Bacterial small subunit ribosomal RNA", at positions 619 to 1256 of the family's 1533-position model. The record is from RNAcentral.
GAAGCCAUUCGAUACUGCGGUGACUAGAGAACGGCAGAGGGAAACGGAAUUUCUGGUGUAGCGGUAAAAUGCGCAGAGAUCAGAAAGAACACCGAUGGCGAAGGCAGUUUCCUAGGCCGCAUCUGACGCUGAGAGGCGAAAGCUAGGGGAGCAAACAGGAUUAGAGACCCUGGUAGUCCUAGCUGUAAACGAUGGAUGCUAGGUGUGGGCCGGAAAGGUCCGUGCCGUAGUUAACGCGAUAAGCAUCCCGCCUGGGGAGUACGGCCGCAAGGCUAAAACUCAAACGAAUUGACGGGGACCCGCACAAGCAGCGGAGCGUGUGGUUUAAUUCGAUGCUACACGCAGAACCUUACCUGGGCUUGACAUGUAGGUGGUAGUGAAGUGAAAGCGGAGCGACCCUUCGGGGAGCCUACACAGGUGCUGCAUGGCUGUCGUCAGCUCGUGCCGUGAGGUGUCGGGUUAAGUCCCGUAACGAGCGCAACCCUUGUCCUUAGUUACAAGUGUCUAAGGAGACUGCCGGUGACAAACCGGAGGAAGGUGGGGAUGACGUCAAGUCAGCAUGGCCCUUAUGUCCAGGGCGACACACACGCUACAAUGGUCGGUACAAUGGGCAGCGCAGCC